Molecule: ribosomal RNA, 1281 nt
Filed under: uncultured fungus
Lineage: Eukaryota; Fungi
Description: eukaryotic LSU rRNA
Rfam family: Eukaryotic large subunit ribosomal RNA (bases 592-1281)
Source: RNAcentral
CUUGGUCAUUUAGAGGAAGUAAAAGUCGUAACAAGGUUUCCGUAGGUGAACCUGCGGAAGGAUCAUUAUUGAAAUAAACCUGAUGGGUUGCUGCUGGCUCUCUAGGGAGCAUGUGCACGCCUUGUCAUCUUUAUAUCUCCACCUGUGCACUUUUUGUAGGCCUUUCCAGGUCUAUGUCGCUUCAUUAUACCCCAAUCGUAUGUCAAUAGAAUGUUGUGCCUAUAAUAAUAUAUACAACUCUCAGCAACGGAUCUCUUGGCUCUCGCAUCGAUGAAGAACGCAGCGAAAUGCGAUAAGUAAUGUGAAUUGCAGAAUUCAGUGAAUCAUCGAAUCUUUGAACGCACCUUGCGCUCCUUGGUAUUCCGAGGAGCAUGCCUGUUUGAGUGUCAUUAAUAUAAUCUCAACCCCUUUUUCUUUUUUGUUGAAGGGUUUUGGAUGUGGGGGGUUUGCUGGCCUUCUGAAAGAGGGUUCAGCUCCCCUGAAAUGCAUUAGCAGAAACGACCUUGCUCAUUGGUGUGAUAACUAUCAACGCUUAUGAAUGUGAGGGGCAGUUCAGCUUUCUAACCGUCUUUGGACAAUUCAUCAUUAAUGUGACCUCAAAUCAGGUAGGACUACCCGCUGAACUUAAGCAUAUCAAUAAGCGGAGGAAAAGAAACUAACAAGGAUUCCCCUAGUAACUGCGAGUGAGGCGGGAAAAGCCCAAAUUUAAAAUCUGGCGGUCUUUUGGCUGUCCGAGUUGUAAUCUAGAGAAGUGUUAUCCGCGCUGGACCGUGUACAAGUCUCCUGGAAUGGAGCAUCAUAGAGGGUGAGAAUCCCGUCUUUGACAUGGACUGCCAGGGCUUUUGUGAUGCGCUCUCAAAGAGUCGAGUUGUUUGGGAAUGCAGCUCAAAAUGGGUGGUAAAUUCCAUCUAAAGCUAAAUAUUGGCGAGAGACCGAUAGCGAACAAGUACCGUGAGGGAAAGAUGAAAAGAACUUUGGAAAGAGAGUUAAACAGUACGUGAAAUUGCUGAAAGGGAAACGCUUGAAGUCAGUCGCGUUGUCCAGGGAUCAACCUUGCUUUUGCUUGGUGCACUUCCUGGUUCGACGGGUCAGCAUCAAUUUCGACCGGGGGAAAAAGGCUUGGGGAAUGUGGCUGUCUUCGGGCAGUGUUAUAGCCCCUUGUUGUAUGCCUCGGUUGGGAUUGAGGAACGCAGCGCGCCUCAUGGCCAGGGGUUCGCCCCUUGAUACGCGCUUAGGAUGCUGGCAUAAUGGCUUUAAGCGACCCGUCUUGAAACACGGACC